UACGUAGGGUGCAAGCGUUGUCCGGAAUUAUUGGGCGUAAAGAGCUCGUAGGCGGUUUGUCGCGUCUGCUGUGAAAACCCGAGGCUCAACCUCGGGCCUGCGGUCGAUACGGGCAGGCUCGAGUUCGGUAGGGGAGACUGGAAUUCCUGGUGUAGCGGUGAAAUGCGCAGAUAUCAGGAGGAACACCGAUGGCGAAGGCAGGUCUCUGGGCCGAUACUGACGCUGAGGAGCGAAAGCGUGGGGAGCAAACAGG
Molecule: ribosomal RNA, 253 nt
Filed under: uncultured bacterium
Lineage: Bacteria
Description: partial 16S ribosomal RNA
Rfam family: Bacterial small subunit ribosomal RNA
Source: RNAcentral